RNAcentral lists this transfer RNA (73 nucleotides) under Stegodyphus mimosarum. It matches the Rfam family "tRNA". Rfam says of the family: Transfer RNA (tRNA) molecules are approximately 80 nucleotides in length. Lineage: Eukaryota; Metazoa; Arthropoda; Arachnida; Araneae; Eresidae. The record is from Rfam by way of RNAcentral.
UCCUUCGUGGUGUAGUGGUCAGCACGCUCGACGCGUAACCGAGAGGUCCGUGGUUCGAUUCCCGGGGAGGGCA